CUCACUACCAUGUAUGUGUGAGGGACAGGAACGCGGGUCGGAUGUGAUGUCUCUCUCCUCACCUCCCAAUUCUAUAUAUUAUUGUUUUUCGUUAAGGGGGAAAUUGGAGACAAGAAUUUGGAGGAAGAGAAGGAGAUGUCCAAGAGGAUGUCACAUAACAAUAAAUCGAACUGCCCGACCCGUAACCUCUGUUCCCGACGCAAUUAAAUCAAGCCGUGAUUUUAACCACUGGUGUCAUGUUAGGAUAGAUGUCCGGAAACAUCGUUCUCCCCUGCACCGACUGAGGUGAAGAGGUCGAAUAGUUGAGAAUACUAUAAAAACUGUCGUGAGAAACCUUUCGGGGGGAACCUGAGUCAGAGAAGACGAAGAAGGAGUAAGCGACCCAUUUUC
Molecule: long non-coding RNA, 390 nt
Filed under: Androctonus crassicauda
Lineage: Eukaryota; Metazoa; Arthropoda; Arachnida; Scorpiones; Buthidae
Source: RNAcentral